UACAGAGGUCUCAAGCGUUGUCCGGAUUUAUUGGGCGUAAAGAGCUCGUAGGCGGCUUGUCGCGUCGACUGUGGAAGCCCACGGCUUAACCGUGUGGUCUGCAGUCGAUACGGGCAGGCUCGAGUUCGGUAGGGGAGACUGGAAUUCCUGGUGUAGCGGUGAAAUGCGUAGAUAUCUGGAGGAACACCGGUGGCGAAGGCGGCAUCCUGGACCGGCAUUGACGCUGAGGCGCGAAAGCCAGGGGAGCAAACGGG
This 254-nucleotide ribosomal RNA is filed under the name uncultured bacterium. RNAcentral's name for it is "partial 16S ribosomal RNA". It matches the Rfam family "Bacterial small subunit ribosomal RNA", at positions 524 to 776 of the family's 1533-position model. The record is from RNAcentral.